Molecule: long non-coding RNA, 1225 nt
Organism: Octopus bimaculoides (California two-spot octopus)
Lineage: Eukaryota; Metazoa; Mollusca; Cephalopoda; Octopoda; Octopodidae
Source: RefSeq, a predicted model, not a curated record
CAUCCCAAGUUAAUCUGGUGCCAGUUUUGACAGCUAGAUGAACUAACAAAAUCUAGUUGAAAACAAUCUGUUCAGAAACACAACGAAACACUUACACCGGAUUUGAACUCACAAUUCACAGGUAGAUAGGGUAAGCAUUCAGCCAUGACAUUUCUAAAUAGAUUGGGUAAAUAUUCCAGGAUCAGAUAACAAUGAGGUUUGUUUUGAUUAUCUUCUUGAUAGUCAGAAUAACAAUUAAAAUCGUCUCUAGUUCACCAAUUGAUGCAAAGGUGUAAUGAGGAUGGUAUUAUUAGGAAAAUAAAUAAUUUAUUAAUAGUUUCUAUGUCAACGUGACUUUCUGAUAUACUGCAUUAGCGUGAAAGGAAGUUAGUUUCGUUCCUACAGAUAUAACAAAAAAGUCCAACCGUUCACACAAUCUAUUUUGUUACCAAAUAUAUAGAGAAAUGCCAACAAGUCUGUAAUUGAAGCUUUCCGGGGUUUAUUAUUACUUUUCUUUGUUUGUCUUUUAAACAAUGCUGUCAAUUUAUUGGGAAACAAUGCCACCAAUAUAUCCAUAAUCUCGUGGGUAGAAGUCCAUACUAAAUAAUUAAAUUGCAGUAAACAGUGCGUGUGUGCAAUAACAAUAGUCAGAGGGCGAGAGAGAAAGAUAACAAUAAUAAUGAUGGAGAAACGACUUUCUCUUGAGUGCAGUUACAUUCCACUGACAAUAAAUAUUACACCGAGCAGGAAUUAUGCAUUAUAAAAAAAGGUAAUAUAUCCAAUCAAUAGAAUAAGCAUCGGGAAAUUUUCCAUAAAAGUACACAAACAAAAGCUUCAGAGAGGAAAAGAGAAAUAUAGAAACGACCUCCCCCAAAGAAAUCCGAUUAAAAAUAAGAACAAAACAAAUUAUAAAAAUCUAUAAAACAGUCUUGCAGGAUGCAGGAAUGUUCUUUAACGAAAGUGUUGCAAGAGGCGGGGAGAGUGAAUUUCCUAAGUUAAAGGACUAAAUCCAUGAGUUGAUGCUGGCGAAUUUAUUAUUAAAAGGCGAAAGAAGAGGAAGAGAUAGAUGGUUUGUUAAAAAAAGGAAACAAAGUAUAUCCGAUGUUUAAGAGAAAAUUCCGAGAAUCCCACCAUUCCGAUUAAACAACUCUUUAGAUAUUUAUACAUUUCGUUUGAGUUUUGAAUGUCAUUUCACUUUAAAGACGAAGUUACCGAUUACAAUAAAUUCAUUGUUGAUAAAAUAUUG